UGGCGGCGUGCCUAACACAUGCAAGUCGAACGGGAAAACAGGGGCAACUCUGUGAGUACAGUGGCGUACGGGUGAGUAACACGUGACUACCUACCCUCGAGUGGGGGAUAACCCCGGGAAACCGGGGCUAAUACCGCAUAACAUCGCAAGAUCAAAGGAGUAAUCCGCUUGAGGAGGGGGUCGCGGCUGAUUAGCUAGUUGGUGAGGUAACGGCCCACCAAGGCGAUGAUCGGUAGCCGGCCUGAGAGGGCGCACGGCCACACUGGAACUGAAACACGGUCCAGACUCCUACGGGAGGCAGCAGUGGGGAAUUUUGCGCAAUGGGGGAAACCCUGACGCAGCAACGCCGCGUGGAGGAUGAAGUCCCUUGGGACGUAAACUCCUUUCGACCCGGACGAUAAUGACGGUACGGGUGGAAGAAGCACCGGCUAACUUCGUGCCAGCAGCCGCGGUAAUACGAGGGGUGCGAGCGUUGUUCGGAAUUAUUGGGCGUAAAGGGCGCGUAGCGGUGCGGUAAG
RNAcentral lists this ribosomal RNA (518 nucleotides) under uncultured Acidobacteriota bacterium. RNAcentral describes it as "bacterial SSU rRNA". It matches the Rfam family "Bacterial small subunit ribosomal RNA", at positions 37 to 587 of the family's 1533-position model. The record is from RNAcentral. Lineage: Bacteria; Pseudomonadati; Acidobacteriota.